CUAAGGAGCUAACCAAUUAUUGGUUGCCCGUUUCUGUCACGAGUGUUGGCAGGCGGGUUGCUCAUGGGUGGAAUAUCAAUGAACUCAAUACCGGAAAAACAGAUACAGCUCAUGUUGUGUUUGGUGGUAUUGGCUGUGGCUGCAUGGUGUUCAUGCUUUCUUAGUACGCGUUUGCUUCUCCUUUGGGGGUUGUGGGUGUUGGAAUGAGGGUGUGGGGGCCAGGUGGUUUGUAUGGUUUGGCAUGCUGUUGGGUUUUGAGGCAACAAGCCCCCUUUUGUUGAGGGGUUUGGUGUUUCAGUGUUUGUCCUGUGUCUUUGCACGGUCAUCGUGAUGGUUCGCUCUUUAGGGGGUGGGUUGUUGGUGGUUUGUGUGGGGGUGUGGGGUUGUUGUUUGGGAACUGUAUAGUGAACGCGAGCAUCUUAUAAGAUGACCAUGUUAGAGAGCCUUUUGGGGUUUUUUGGUGUGGUUGUUUUGUGAUUUUGUUGAUUGUUUUAUAGCUCAAACUUGAGAACUUGUUUUGUG
RNAcentral lists this unclassified non-coding RNA (522 nucleotides) under uncultured bacterium. Its description in RNAcentral is "16S-23S ribosomal RNA intergenic spacer". The record is from RNAcentral.